ACCCAGUUCCAAGUGCAGCCCGAGACGAGAGUACUGGCAUAGUGGCCGGGCAUCUGCAGGGACUUCUGACAAACGCGGUGGAUGAGUCCAGAAGCUGAGCAGUCAGCUUGCAAAUUGUCCAGGUCCUUCGAUUUCUCUUUCUUGAAGGCAGUGUUGGGGAGGCAGUGGUGUGGGGGAGGCAGUGUGUUUGGGGUGGUUCUGGAGCUCCCCUCUCGCCCGCCUCUAGCCUUUUCUAGCUGGGUGACCUUGGGCAAGUUGCCUUACCAAUCCCAGCCUGUGCGUCUCGUGGGUUUACUGGUGGCAUUUGAGUAACUAUCAGAGGCUUCAUAAGUAUUGGUUGCUCUCUUCUGGUUUUUUUUUUUUUUUUUUUUUUUUGAGAUGGAGUCUCGCUCUGUCACCAAGGCUGGAGUGCAGUGGCAUGAUCUCAGCUCACUGCAAACUCCACCUCUCGGGUUCAAGAGAUUCUCCUGCCUCAGCCUCCCAAGUAGCUAUCAUGCCUGGCUAAUUUUUGUAUUUUUUUAGUAGAGAUGGGUUUCACCAUGUUGGCCAGGUUGUUCUCAAACUCCUGACCUCAGGUGAUCCGCCUGGGCCUCCCCAAAUGCUGGGAUUACAGGCGUGAGCCACCGCGCCUGGCCGGUUGCCUUUCUUCUUUCCCCACUUCUGCUGCCCAAGUUUGGGACAAUUCUGUUUAUUCACACCUGCUCCAAAGGAAGUGAAAUCCAGCUCAUUUCUCCUUCUUAUUGGUAGUAUUGCCCAAGGGCUGGAGGGACCAUGGGAAUGGGCGCUGGAGGCAGUGGUUCAUGCCUAUAAUCCCAGUACUUUGGGAGGUCAAGGUGAGUGGAUUGCUUGAGCCCAGGAGUUCAAGCACAGUAGGCUCUUACUCCGUUACUGAACAAAUAGUGUUCGGGCAAAGCUUCAUGGAUGUGAGAACCUGGUAAUUACACAUCUUUGAUGAAAGUGUGAGAGUUUGCUUUAUGCAUCUAUGAUGAAAGAUGACAUCUUUGGUUCUUGCAUCUGUUCCAACUGGCUUUGCUCUUUUCUUGGCAACAUCAAUAACUUUUAGAUGUUGUGUGACCACAGCUGGUCUUCUUUUCAUCACAUCACCAUGUGUCCUUGCAUUCCUCACAAUAGUUCUUUAUUUCAUUCUGCUCUCCCUCCAUUGCUACCUGCUCUUUCUUCAUAAUUUUUCACUCCUACUUCAUAAAAGCCAUGUCUUCUUAUGUCCUAACGAAGACGCAAAACAGUAGUUUAGAAUUCUCUUCCGGUUCAUGGAGUACAUCACUUUCAGAAACAGGACCUUCCUCUAGACUUCUGAAUGACAUUCCAUUUUCUUUAAUCUGCAGUACUGCAGAGCUUAUCCUGCAAGAAGGAAAAUCUGUUCAGAUCUACUGGCUGCUAAAAGACACAUUGUGACUCUCUUGACUCCACUCACUGUCCAUUUGGACGUUUGUGGAAUCUCAUUCUUAGAUAGACAACUGUAAGAUAGUGUAGUGUGCAGAGCUUGGUGCAAUUUCCAGUGACUACAGAGCACGUAUUCCUUUCAUGUAGCUUUGUAGGAUUGAGGCAAAAUCUUCUCCUACAACUAAUAUCUGUCUAGUUGACACUCUGAAUUAAAAAAAAGUGCAUGUGCGUGCACACGCGCGCGCGCACACACACACACACAUAAACAUCUGGCCGCCAGAAUAUACUGUUCCCAGGGCUUUUCCUGGUUCUGUCAUCGCCCAAAACCUUACUUUUGUUGGAACUAUGCUUCCUCCAACAAUUGACCUAUUGCCAGCCUAUGCCUGACCACCUCCACCACCAUGCACAUAUGUACCCAACUUUCUGCACUUUUGUUUUCUUAGAAUUUAUUUAUUAAAUGGGGACUUGCAAUUUCUAAAUAAAUGCAGAAAGAGGGGAAUUGUUGGUAAGGUCAAGAAGAGGAGAAUGGAGUGCUGCUUUGAAACAC
RNAcentral lists this long non-coding RNA (1948 nucleotides) under Homo sapiens (human). RNAcentral describes it as "non-protein coding lnc-GRHL2-16:1". Lineage: Eukaryota; Metazoa; Chordata; Mammalia; Primates; Hominidae. The record is from RNAcentral.